CGGCGGACGGGUGAGUAACACGUGGGCAACCUGCCUGUAAGACUGGGAUAACUUUCGGGAAACCGGAGCUAAUACCGGAUAACACCGAGGACCUCAUGGUCCUUGGUUGAAAGAUGGCUUCGGCUAUCACUUACAGAUGGGCCCGCGGCGCAUUAGCUAGUUGGUGAGGUAACGGCUCACCAAGGCGACGAUGCGUAGCCGACCUGAGAGGGUGAUCGGCCACACUGGGACUGAGACACGGCCCAGACUCCUACG
Molecule: ribosomal RNA, 255 nt
Filed under: Bacillus sp. (in: firmicutes)
Lineage: Bacteria; Bacillati; Bacillota; Bacilli; Caryophanales; Bacillaceae
Description: Bacillus sp. (in: Bacteria) partial 16S ribosomal RNA
Rfam family: Bacterial small subunit ribosomal RNA
Source: RNAcentral